GGAGGAGCCAAGAUGGCCGAAUAGGAACAGCUCCGGUAUACAGCUCCCAGCGUGAGAGACGCAGAAGACGGGUGAUUUCUGCAUUUCCAUCUGAGGUACGGGGUUCAUCUCACUACGCAGUGCCAGACAGUGGGCGCAGAAAUGGCCCAUGCGAUCAAGAUUGUACAUCGGUGCUACUGGUCAGUUUCUGAAGCAUUCUGUUUCUGGAGAAAAAACAAAUCAUGACAACACUCCAACAGACUCACAGCCUUAGGCUCUGGUGGGGGCUGGUAGAAGUGGUGGCUAUCGUUUUUAAAUACUAUGACAUAAUUCUAUAUUUAUUAUAUGAGACAUAACAAAAUUUCUGAAAGUUUACAUGUGAACCCAUAGUUGGAUGUUCAGGUUUAUCUGUCUAAAUGUGGAAUGAAAUAAUCAGUGUUAUAUAAAACACACAGCUUAUCUGUUCAGUGUGAGAGUCGCUACUAUAUAGUGCAAGAGAAAUUAUUAGAAAAAAGUCACAUGAAAGCAAACAAUUGUGUAUAUAGCUAAAGAAUGCAAUAUAGAUAUUGCUAUAGUGUAUCUGUUACAAACAGAAAAGUUCAUAUCUAUUGGUGCAGUCUUCCUAGUUUAAAAAGAUAAAAAUCUGUGUUUAUAAUAUACAAGUAUUCCUUUUUUGUGAAAAUCAUACUGUUCUUAAGUUGAUCUAAGACACCAUUUCAAUUGAAGAAAA
RNAcentral lists this small RNA (709 nucleotides) under Pan troglodytes (chimpanzee). Its description in RNAcentral is "processed transcript". Lineage: Eukaryota; Metazoa; Chordata; Mammalia; Primates; Hominidae. The record is from RNAcentral.